GGUGGUAUAGUUCAGUGGUAGAGCGCAUGCUUAGUUUGCAUGAGGUCCUGGAUUCAAUCCCCAGUAAAUCCA
RNAcentral lists this transfer RNA (72 nucleotides) under Camelus bactrianus (Bactrian camel). It matches the Rfam family "tRNA". Rfam says of the family: Transfer RNA (tRNA) molecules are approximately 80 nucleotides in length. Their secondary structure includes four short double-helical elements and three loops (D, anti-codon, and T loops). Further hydrogen bonds mediate the characteristic L-shaped molecular structure. tRNAs have two regions of fundamental functional importance: the anti-codon, which is responsible for specific mRNA codon recognition, and the 3' end, to which the tRNAs corresponding amino acid is attached (by aminoacyl-tRNA synthetases). tRNAs cope with the degeneracy of the genetic code in two manners: having more than one tRNA (with a specific anti-codon) for a particular amino acid; and 'wobble' base-pairing, i.e. permitting non-standard base-pairing at the 3rd anti-codon position. RNAcentral also lists the same sequence under 1 other name. Lineage: Eukaryota; Metazoa; Chordata; Mammalia; Artiodactyla; Camelidae. The record is from Rfam by way of RNAcentral.